UAAAACUAAGAUCAAAAUUUACCAAAACUUCCAGGAUUGUGACUAUUUUGGCUCUUAUUGACUUAUAGAUUUUAUGAUAAAAGCUAAUGGUUAGCUUACACAUCAUGACCGCAGAUUCCAUGACAGAUGCUACCAGGACACUUGAAGCUGCAAUAAAGUAUAGAUUGCAUAGGAAAUUGUUCAUGGAUAAAGUUAUCCAAGCAUUGGAGAUUUAUCAAGAGCAAAUACUGUUCUGAUCCAAUCUACAUACUGGAGAUUAGUCACGAAAAUUUUGUAACGCUGCUAUUUACCUGUAAUCAUGUAUCACCGAAAACAAAUGCUCAUUAUCUAUGAAAUGCAGGUUCUUCA
Cajanus cajan (pigeon pea) is the source of this 348-nucleotide non-coding RNA. Lineage: Eukaryota; Viridiplantae; Streptophyta; Magnoliopsida; Fabales; Fabaceae. The record is from RefSeq and is a predicted model, not a curated record.